AGAUUGAACGCUGGCGGCAGGCCUAACACAUGUCAAGUCGAGCGGUAGAGAGGUGCUUGCACCUCUUGAGAGCGGCGGACGGGUGAGUAAUGCCUAGGAAUCUGCCUAGUGGUGGGGGAUAACGUUCGGAAACGGACGCUAAUACCGCAUACGUCCUACGGGAGAAAGCGGGGGACCUUCGGGCCUCGCGCCAUUAGAUGAGCCUAGGUCGGAUUAGCUAGUUGGUGAGGUAAUGGCUCACCAAGGCGACGAUCCGUAACUGGUCUGAGAGGAUGAUCAGUCACACUGGAACUGAGACACGGUCCAGACUCCUACGGGAGGCAGCAGUGGGGAAUAUUGGCCAAUGGGCGAAAGCCUGAUCCAGCCAUGCCGCGUGUGUGAAGAAGGUCUUCGGAUUGUAAAGCACUUUAAGUUGGAGGAAGGUUGUAACUUAAUACGUUGCAACUUUGACGUUACCGACAGAAUAAGCACCGGCUAACUUCGUGACAGCAGCCG
Molecule: ribosomal RNA, 495 nt
Filed under: uncultured soil bacterium
Lineage: Bacteria
Description: bacterial SSU rRNA
Rfam family: Bacterial small subunit ribosomal RNA
Source: RNAcentral